UACAGGGGGUGCAAACGUUGCUCGGAAUCAUUGGGCGUAAAGCGCACGUAGGCGGUUCGUUAUGUCGGAUGUGAAAGCCCUUGGCUUAACCGAGGAAGUGCAUCCGAAACUGGCGAGCUAGAGUACGAAAGAGGAUCGCGGAAUUCCCGGUGUAGAGGUGAAAUUCGUAGAUAUCGGGAGGAACACCGGUGGCGAAGGCGGCGACCUGGUCCUUGACUGACGCUGAGGCGCGAAAGCGUGGGGAGCAAACAGG
RNAcentral lists this ribosomal RNA (253 nucleotides) under uncultured bacterium. RNAcentral describes it as "partial 16S ribosomal RNA". It matches the Rfam family "Bacterial small subunit ribosomal RNA", at positions 524 to 776 of the family's 1533-position model. The record is from RNAcentral.